This is a regulatory RNA element of 154 nucleotides. It matches the Rfam family "speF leader". From Rfam's summary of the family: This family is a putative regulatory RNA structure that is found upstream of the speF gene encoding ornithine decarboxylase in Agrobacterium tumefaciens and other alpha-proteobacteria. The record is from Rfam.
UGUCGACCCUCCAAAGGUCGGGAAACUGAAGAGGCACUACUUCUUGCCGGGCGUGCGGUUCGGGUUCUCCCAAACCAAGCGAAGGCAUCGAUCGGACGCUGGCGCUCUCCACAUGCGCUGAGCGAUCGCAUCGCUGCCACGGCUCACCAUUAUC